Molecule: long non-coding RNA, 1113 nt
Organism: Canis lupus familiaris (dog)
Lineage: Eukaryota; Metazoa; Chordata; Mammalia; Carnivora; Canidae
Exons: 2
Source: RefSeq, a predicted model, not a curated record
GGAGGAGGAGGAGCAGGGCGGAGGCAGAAGCGGGAGAGCCUCCGCCGAAGCCCCGCCCCGCGCUGGGCUCCCAGGGAGGACCCGAACUGGGCCGCGAACCAGCCUCGGCGGGGCAGGGGGUCGUGGGACCGCCCCGAGUGGGCGAUCGGGCCGCCGCACAGGCCCCCGCGCAGGAAGGAGACCCUGCCCCGCAGGGGGGAGGCCUUGGCGGCGCUGCCCGUCCUCUCACACAGCCGAAGUGACGGGGCGGGUCGUCAGGAUGGGCAAGCGGGGUAGCUUCUGUUUUCAUUUUCACUUUCCCGAUGAUCGUGCUGCAGCCUUGGAACCGAGAACGUGAGGGGGCCGGCCCUGGGUCACGGCCUCCGCCUCCAGGCCGGCCUCCCAGCCGUGAGGGCCCAGGAGCACUGGUGCGGGGUGAGAGGGUCCGCAGGGUGGACCAUACAAAGCAGUACUCCGAGGUUUCCACCUCUGAAACAGUCUGGGAGAAAAUGCAAAUGUACUGGGGUCACCAAAACCCGACCUUUAGAAAUACAGACCAGAUGUGGUGGCGAGGCUAGUUUGAAAGCAGCUGGACAGGGAGCACCUCAAGGAAAGCAAAGACGAGGUUCUCCCUCCCUCCCAAGUUGUUAAAAAACGUGAUAUGGGUCCACUCUUCUUGUAAAUGAUACGUGCUUUCAGAGAAUUGGUUUUGGAAUCUAGUUUUGGAACAGCUUUUUUUUUUUUUUUUUUAAAGAUUUUAUUUAUUUAUUCAUGAGAGACACACAGAGAGAGAGAGAGAGAGAGAGAGAGAGGCAGAGACACAGGCAGAGGGAGAAGCAGGCUCCAUGCAGGAAGCCCGAGGUGGUACUUGAUCCCAGGUCUCAAGGAUCAUGCAUGCCCUGGGCUGAAGGCGGCGGCACUAAACCGCUGAGCCACCUGGACUCCCUGGAACAGCUUCUUAACUGAAUUCCUCCAUGUUUAGUUCAAUUUAAGGCUUGAUCGUGUCAUCUACCCCAAUGCUAGACCAGAGUUAAAGGACCAAAAGAGACUAAUAAACCUUUUGGUGGGGGGGGAAGUAUAUCAUUGCCUGUGCAAAGCAUACUUCAACUCAAAAACUAUAAUAAAAGCAAAAUU